UCUCCGUAGGUGAACCUGCGGAGGGAUCAUUACUGAGUUCUGGGUCUAACCGACCCGACCUCCAACCUUUUGUUAUCCAACUCUGUUGCCUCGCGGGCGACCCGGCCCUCUGGGCGUCGGGGCCCCCGGUGGCUCACACCUCAACUCUUGCAUCUGUGCGUCUGAGUAACAUAUUGAAUCAAUCAAAACUUUCAACAACGGAUCUCUUGGUUCUGGCAUCGAUGAGAACGCAGC
This 234-nucleotide unclassified non-coding RNA is filed under the name uncultured fungus. RNAcentral's name for it is "sequence contains ITS1, 5.8S rRNA gene". The stretch from base 187 to 234 matches the Rfam family "5.8S ribosomal RNA", at positions 1 to 49 of the family's 154-position model. Lineage: Eukaryota; Fungi. The record is from RNAcentral.